GCUGGGAUAGCUCAGUUGGUAGAGCACAAGAUUCUUGAUCUCUGGGUUGAAGCCCCAUGCUGGGCA
Non-coding RNA from Podarcis lilfordi (Lilford's wall lizard), 66 nucleotides. Lineage: Eukaryota; Metazoa; Chordata; Lepidosauria; Squamata; Lacertidae. The record is from the annotation of a GenBank genome assembly.